This 16-nucleotide ribosomal RNA is filed under the name Trigonella foenum-graecum. RNAcentral's name for it is "partial 18S ribosomal RNA". Lineage: Eukaryota; Viridiplantae; Streptophyta; Magnoliopsida; Fabales; Fabaceae. RNAcentral also lists the same sequence under 1 other name. The record is from RNAcentral.
UGCGGAAGGAUCAUAG